CAGCAGCCGCGGGAAUACGUAGGGUCCGAGCGUUGUCCGGAAUUACUGGGCGUAAAGAGCUCGUAGGUGGUUUGUCGCGUUGUUCGUGAAAACUCACAGCUUAACUGUGGGCGUGCGGGCGAUACGGGCAGACUAGAGUACUGCAGGGGAGACUGGAAUUCCUGGUGUAGCGGUGGAAUGCGCAGAUAUCAGGAGGAACACCGGUGGCGAAGGCGGGUCUCUGGGCAGUAACUGACGCUGAGGAGCGAAAGCGUGGGGAGCGAACAGGAUUAGAUACCCCGGUAGUCCCUGUCUCUUAUAC
Molecule: ribosomal RNA, 301 nt
Filed under: uncultured bacterium
Lineage: Bacteria
Description: partial 16S ribosomal RNA
Rfam family: Bacterial small subunit ribosomal RNA
Source: RNAcentral